GGAGUGGUGGCAGAGUCUGGUUUAUUGCACCUGUCUUGAAAACAGACGAACUGAGAAGUUCCGUGGGUUCAAAUCCCACCCACUCCCCCA
Molecule: transfer RNA, 90 nt
Filed under: Caudoviricetes sp.
Lineage: Duplodnaviria; Heunggongvirae; Uroviricota; Caudoviricetes
Description: tRNA-Ser
Rfam family: tRNA
About the family: Transfer RNA (tRNA) molecules are approximately 80 nucleotides in length. Their secondary structure includes four short double-helical elements and three loops (D, anti-codon, and T loops). Further hydrogen bonds mediate the characteristic L-shaped molecular structure. tRNAs have two regions of fundamental functional importance: the anti-codon, which is responsible for specific mRNA codon recognition, and the 3' end, to which the tRNAs corresponding amino acid is attached (by aminoacyl-tRNA synthetases). tRNAs cope with the degeneracy of the genetic code in two manners: having more than one tRNA (with a specific anti-codon) for a particular amino acid; and 'wobble' base-pairing, i.e. permitting non-standard base-pairing at the 3rd anti-codon position.
Source: RNAcentral